GAAUAGUACAGGCUGCAGGAAGUGAGCAGCACUUUAACUGUCUGUGGUCAGGGUGGCACUCCUCUGAAAUUAGGCAGCUUCACCCACAGCCGCGCCCGCUACUCCUCUGCACAAAAGAGCCAAGCAGGGGCACCUCACAGUACCCGCUUUGGGACCCCAGAGCUAUGAUACUUUCACAAAGACAACUACGCCUGUGUGCUCCUUACAUCUUCUGCAAAAGCCGAUGCAGUCAUGCUCCAAACAACCUCAACAGUAUUUUUGUAAGCUCUUCUCUCUGCCUAAGGUACAAAAUUUAGUUACUUCAGUUCUGCUUAUUAAUGCCAGUUUACAGGGGUUACAAUAUCUAUCAGAAGCGAAAAUCUAUUUAGAAUUUCUAUAAUUUCAUGUAACCUGUUUAACUCAUUAGACAGGGAAAGCAAAAAAUUAAAGACAUAUGUUACAGGAAAUGGGAAUCUAAAUCUUACAUACACAUAUAUUGUUUAGAUGCCCUACUGGCGGACAUCUUUAACUGUUUUAAGCUACACUUGUAUGUUGUCUAAUCUGUGUUUGUCAUUUGUCCGGUUAUGUAUUGUGUAUGCACUGACGCUUUUACACAAAUGAAGUUCCUAACGCAUACAUAAAGUUAUUUUGAAUUUGAAUUUGGUUCAGAGAUUCUAGGCUGAGCAGAAUCUUUUUACAUUUGUUUUUAACACACAUCUGCUGUGAAAUGUAUAGCAUACGAUUGUGAAAUAUAGAGCAUAGGAUUAAUCUGAAGUUCCUGUUCAUGCUCAGCUCUGCAACAGAGAUGAGUAGAGUUAUUUGGCUUUAUGACAUGCACAGAACUGUAAAUGAACUGCAUUUACUGGUGUGCUCUAUUCCUGAAGAAUAGAUUUUGCCAUCAUUUCAACUUUUGUGAAACUAAAUUUUA
Molecule: long non-coding RNA, 907 nt
Organism: Anguilla anguilla (European eel)
Lineage: Eukaryota; Metazoa; Chordata; Actinopteri; Anguilliformes; Anguillidae
Exons: 2
Source: RefSeq, a predicted model, not a curated record